Molecule: ribosomal RNA, 119 nt
Filed under: Pteropus alecto (black flying fox)
Lineage: Eukaryota; Metazoa; Chordata; Mammalia; Chiroptera; Pteropodidae
Also listed under: 1 other name
Source: RNAcentral
GUCUACGGCCAUGCCACCUUGAAUGUGCCCGAUCUCAUCUGAUCUCAGAAGCUAAGCAGGGUUGGGCCUGGUUAGUACUUGGAUGGGAGACCACCUAGGAAUACCAGGUGCUGUAGGUG